CCUACAUCUAUGUGUGUAGGACCCCAAAGGAUCACCAUUAAAUUUGGCACAAAUCUCUAGAAAAGUUAUCACAUGGAUGUGAGACUUGGCUUUUCUAGAGAUCUGUGCCAAAUUUAAUGGUGAUCCUUUAGGGUCCUACACACAGGUGCAGG
RNAcentral lists this microRNA precursor (152 nucleotides) under Amborella trichopoda. Its description in RNAcentral is "MIR8565 microRNA precursor family". It matches the Rfam family "MIR8565 microRNA precursor family". The record is from Rfam by way of RNAcentral. Lineage: Eukaryota; Viridiplantae; Streptophyta; Magnoliopsida; Amborellales; Amborellaceae.